Molecule: ribosomal RNA, 253 nt
Filed under: uncultured bacterium
Lineage: Bacteria
Description: partial 16S ribosomal RNA
Rfam family: Bacterial small subunit ribosomal RNA
Source: RNAcentral
UACAGAGGGGGCAAGCGUUGUUCGGAAUUACUGGGCGUAAAGGGCGCGUAGGCGGCCGCCUAAGUCAGACGUGAAAUCCCUCGGCUCAACCGGGGAACUGCGCCUGAUACUGGGUGGCUUGAAUCCGGGAGAGGGAUGCGGAAUUCCAGGUGUAGCGGUGAAAUGCGUAGAUAUCUGGAGGAACACCGGUGGCGAAGGCGGCAUCCUGGACCGGCAUUGACGCUGAGGCGCGAAAGCCAGGGGAGCAAACGGG